CCGGAGAGUAGGGUAUUUGUCUUACACGUACAGCUAGCUCUGCAUCUCAGAGUUGGCAAUUUUGCACCAUCAUUCGAAGGAAAGAGAAAAGAUGAUCAAAAUACAGUUCUCAAUGAUGUACAUCAAUGGCGAAAUUUCCUGGGGGACAGGGUAACCCAUUGACAAGCCCCCAACUGGAUAUGUAUUGGCUAUUGCCCAUCCUUUUGACUUUUUGCUUUCAGAAUUACAAUGCUCAUUCAAGGAACCUUAAUUGCAUUAUCCUCGUAUAAAUAAAUGUUGCAGGCAACCCUUAUCUCCUACCAUUAUCUCUUUCAACUGGAAAAUGAAAAUAAAAAUGGCAAAAAGCUUCAUCUUCUUGAUCUUGGCUUUGCUUCUGCUAUCCACAGCACAAAGCAGACCACUGUCAACCACAAAUCGGCAACAAGCUGAUGGAUGCCAUUUUCUUCACCGGAAUCAAGUUUCACUGAUGAUGAUGAGUGCAGAGGUUUGAAUGGUGAAGAAUGUCUGAUUAAAAGGUCCUUGAUUGCUCAUACUGAUUAUAUUUACACCCAAAGAAACGUAGGACCAUGAUUUUUUUUUUUUUAUGUUUCCAUAUGUACUGUUAAUUUAAAACUUAGAAGUAAUCAAAGAUGUUUUGAACUAGUGCUUAAUUUUGAUCUUGCCAUGAUUGUAACACCCCGAACUCGAGACCAUCGCCGGUGUCGGACACGAGGGGUUAACAAGCCAAGUUCACAUAUUUUGCCCCCCAAUUUGACAUUUCCAGUCAGGCUGGAAAACUGCGUCACCAUCGCCUUAAAAAUCAUAUCUCGAGUUUCAAAACUCGGAAACUGGUUUCGUAAAUUUUCCCUGUAUUUAGACUCAUAUAUCCAUCCAUGGAUUUAUUUCUAGAAUUUUUUGUUGGGCCAA
Molecule: long non-coding RNA, 906 nt
Organism: Gossypium arboreum
Lineage: Eukaryota; Viridiplantae; Streptophyta; Magnoliopsida; Malvales; Malvaceae
Exons: 2
Source: RefSeq, a predicted model, not a curated record